GACGAACGCUGGCGGCGUGCUUAACACAUGCAAGUCGAACGGAAAGGCCCUGCUUUUGUGGGGUGCUCGAGUGGCGAACGGGUGAGUAACACGUGAGUAACCUGCCCUUGACUUUGGGAUAACUUCAGGAAACUGGGGCUAAUACCGGAUAGGAGCUCCUGCUGCAUGGUGGGGGUUGGAAAGUUUCGGCGGUUGGGGAUGGACUCGCGGCUUAUCAGCUUGUUGGUGGGGUAGUGGCUUACCAAGGCUUUGACGGGUAGCCGGCCUGAGAGGGUGACCGGCCCCAUUGGGACUGAGAUACGGCCCAGACUCCUACGGGAGGCAGCAGUGGGGAAUAUUGCACAAUGGGCGGAAGCCUGAUGCAGCAACGCCGCGUGCGGGAUGACGGCCUUCGGGUUUUAAACCGCUUUCGCCUGUGACGAAGCGUGAGUGACGGUAAUGGGUAAAGAAGCACCGGCUAACUACGUG
RNAcentral lists this ribosomal RNA (468 nucleotides) under uncultured bacterium. Its description in RNAcentral is "partial 16S ribosomal RNA". It matches the Rfam family "Bacterial small subunit ribosomal RNA", at positions 28 to 507 of the family's 1533-position model. The record is from RNAcentral.